UAAGGAAUAUUGGACAAUGGUCGCAAGACUGAUCCAGCCAUGCCGCGUGCAGGAAGACGGCCCUAUGGGUUGUAAACUGCUUUUGUACCAGAGAAAACCUAUCUACGUGUAGAUAGCUGAUAGUAUGGUAAGAAUAAGCAUCGGCUAACUUCGUGCCAGCAGCCGCGGUAAGACGAAGGAUGCAAGCGUUAUCCGGAUUCAUUGGGUUUAAAGGGUGCGUAGGCGGGCUUGUAAGACCGAUGUUAAAUCCCUGGGCUCAACCUGGGAAUGGCAUUGGAAACUGGGCAGCUAGAGUGCGGUAGAGGGCAGUGGAAUUCCAGGUGUAGCAGUGAAAUGCGUAGAGAUCGGGAGGAACAUCUGUGGCGAAGGCGACUGCCUGGACCAGCACUGACACUGAGGCACGAAAGCGUGGGGAGCAAACA
RNAcentral lists this ribosomal RNA (422 nucleotides) under uncultured bacterium. RNAcentral's name for it is "bacterial SSU rRNA". It matches the Rfam family "Bacterial small subunit ribosomal RNA", at positions 355 to 774 of the family's 1533-position model. The record is from RNAcentral.